Molecule: non-coding RNA, 237 nt
Organism: Xyrichtys novacula (pearly razorfish)
Lineage: Eukaryota; Metazoa; Chordata; Actinopteri; Labriformes; Labridae
Source: the annotation of a GenBank genome assembly
CAGGACAACAUUGAGGUUUUUUUCUUUUAAGAUUUAGAGAUUAAAGUUGUAAAUUUAGGAGAAUAAAGUCAUAAAGUAAAUAAAGUCAUAAAGCUGCUUUUGUGGAGGGGGAAAUGACUGAAGCUGGUCAUCUGCAGGGUUAUCUGUGGAUGUAUCAGUGGGUCAUUCAGAGAGAUUUUGUGGUUUCUGAAGAAACAAUCAAACUGAUGAUGAUCAACAUUUGUGAUCCAGAGGGAG